This 218-nucleotide long non-coding RNA is filed under the name Elaeis guineensis (African oil palm). RNAcentral's name for it is "long non-coding RNA (EGUI_LNC070544)". The record is from RNAcentral. Lineage: Eukaryota; Viridiplantae; Streptophyta; Magnoliopsida; Arecales; Arecaceae.
UAAUGACUUAGGGUCUCACUCAAAAAGACUAGCUAGAAGGUGUCAUUUAGAUUCUUUAGUUUUGUAUAAAUAUUCAAGAUCUUUCCCAUUAAUAUCAAUGUGAGACUACGUACAUGCCAUAUGAAUUAUCACAUACUCUUCCCAUUUAAGUCCUAGCAUUCUGAUAGACUAAGAGUCCAAAUCUAUUAAUUUACUUAUAAAUACCAUGAUUGGCCUGC